Molecule: long non-coding RNA, 2526 nt
Organism: Lolium perenne
Lineage: Eukaryota; Viridiplantae; Streptophyta; Magnoliopsida; Poales; Poaceae
Source: RefSeq, a predicted model, not a curated record
CGCUAGGGAACAAAGAAAGGGGGAGGAGACUCUCUCCAUCCAAGGUACUCACCUUCUUGUCUCUGAAGGUUGCAGCGCCGGAGUCAGUUAUCGUCAGUUUUGGGAAUUUCUUGGAGAAGAGCUAGCUCUUUUGAUUGAGGAUCCUUUGUGAUCUGUGGAGCUUGGUUUGAGCCUGAAUUCUGUGUAUUUCAGGAACUCAAGACAGGGAAAAUACUUGGGAUUGGAAUUGGGCAUGUGUCUUUUCGGGUCCUAGAAAUUAUGUACCCCUCAUAUUUUGCAACUUGUUGUAAGGACAAGUUGGUAUGUGAUGUGUGUGAACUAGCGAAACACACACGAGCCACUUAUCCUAGUAGUAAUGAAAGAAGUAGAGAUCCUUUUGAGGUUGUCCACUCAGAUGUUUGGGGUCCCUCUACCGUAACCUCUCUGUUAGGAGAGCGCUGGUUUGUAACUUUUAUUGAUGGUUUUAGCCGUUGUACAUGGCUGUAUGUGCUUAAACGAAAGUGUGAUGUGCUGUCUGCGUUUAAGGAUUUCUAUGCUUUGGUUGGUAAUCAGUAUAAUGCAAAAAUCAAAGUACUUCGUUCUGAUAAUGGAACAGAGUAUGUUAACAAAGACUUUGACUAUUUUCUAUCAUCCAAUGGCAUUAUACAUCAAACUACUUGUGUGGAUACUGCAGCACAAAAUGGAGUAGCUGAGAGAAAAUAUAGGCAUCUACUAGAAGUUGCUUGAUCUAUUAUGUUCGAAAUGAAUGUUCCAAAAUUUCUUUGGGGAGAAGCCAUUAAAACAGCAGCUUAUCUGAUAAAUCGCAUGCCAACUAGAAUUUUGAAUUUUAGAACUCCAAUUGAAUGUCUAAGUGGUACUAAUUCAUUUAUUGUGCCUCCAAAAGUAUUUGGUUGUACAUGCUUUAUUCAUGAUUACAGGAACUCUAUCGGAAAACUUGAUCCUUGGGCUAUCAAGUGUAUUUUUGUUGGAUAUUCUCCUACUCAAAAGGUCUAUCGUUGUUGGAGUCCUACUGAAAAGCGCUUCUUCGUGAGUAUGGAUGUUACCUUUCGAGAAAAAGAGCCAUAUUACAUCUCAUCCAACAAAAUUACUCCGGAAAUUGAUAAUGAGGGGGAGAAAGUUAAUGAAGGACCACUUCGUGCUGGUCAAGUCUUGAUUCCUUUCCUAGACACUACUGAGACCCAACCUGAAGUGGAAGAAGAGAAAAAUGCAAGUACAAAUGAUGAAAACAAUGACUCAACUGUUCCGGAGGAAUGUGCGUAAUCACUGCCACAACAAGAGGUUGAAGUGACAGGAGGAGAUAUCGAGCAUACUUCUAGUACUUCAACCCAUACUGAUCCUAUAUCGCGAGAUGGUUCUGUUGGUGAUGCAACAGGAGAAGGAGCAGAAAAUCUGGUGACAGAACUGAACUCUUCAUCAGUUGAUUAUCCUAUUGCUUUACGAAAACCAAUAAGACUGACACAUUUUCCAGCACAUCUUAAAGAUUGUAUUGGCUAUAAGCAUGAUCUUGCAAAAUUUGUAUCUUAUGAAAACUGCAGUUCAUCAUUCAAGGGGUUCCUCACUUCUCUCGACUCUACAUCCCUACCGAAAGACUGGAGAGAUGCUAUACAAGAUCCCAAGUGGAAGGCUGCAAUGAUGGAGGAAAUGAAAGCCUUGGAAAAGAAUGGUACAUGGAAGCUAGUUGAACUCCCUCGUGGAAAGCAACCUGUUGGCUGUAAGUGGAUAUUUACAGUCAAGCAAAAUCCUGAUGGUAAAGUGGAACGAUAUAAUGCUCGUUUAGUGGCGAAAGGUUAUACACAAACAUAUGGAAUUGAUUAUGAAGAAAAUUUUGCACCUGUGGCCAAGAUGAAUUCAAUAAGAACUUUGAUUUCCUGUGCAUCUAAUCUUGGUUGGGAGCUUCAUCAACUUGACGUAAAGAAUGCAUUUCUUCAUGGGGAUCUACAAGAAGAAUUUAUAUGCAUAUACCACCUAGUUUUGACACUAGCCAAACCGAAGGCAAAGUCUUAAGACUGUAUCGAUCUUUAUAAAGUCUUAAACAGUCACCCGGGCCUGGUUUGAUAGAUUCAGACGAGCUAUAAUUCAAAUGGGCUACAAACAGAGGGAUAACGAAGAGGAAAUUGAACAUCUCAAGGGUAAACUUGCUCAAGGAUUUGAAGUCAAGGAUCUUGGGAAAUUGCGGUAUUUCCUUGGAAUUGAAGUCUCUAGAAGCAAAAAAAGGUAUUUAUAUAUCUCAACGGAAAUAUGUCUUAGACCUAUUAAAAGAAACUGGAUUAGUUGGAUGUCGUCCAGCUCCUACACCAAUUGAGCGAAAUCAUCGUCUCAUGAGUGAAGCUGGAUCACCUGUAGAUCGAGAGCGUUAUCAAAGACUUGUUGGGAAGUUAAUUUAUCUCUCCCAUACUCGACCUGAUAUUGCAUUUGCUGUUAGUGUGGUUAGUCAAUUCAUGCAUGAUCCUAGAACACGUCAUAUGGAUGCUAUAAUCAGAAUUAUUAGAUAUCUCAAAGGGUGCCCUAGUCGAGGUCUGCUAUAUU